UGGAUCCAGACUUUGAUCAUGGCUCAGGAUGAGCGCUAGCUACAGGCUUAACACAUGCAAGUCGAGGGGAAACGACAUCGAAAGCUUGCUUUUGAUGGGCGUCGACCGGCGCACGGGUGAGUAACGCGUAUCCAACCUGCCCACCACUUGGGGAUAACCUUGCGAAAGUAAGACUAAUACCCAAUGACGUCUCUAGAAGACAUCUGAAAGAGAUUAAAGAUUUAUCGGUGAUGGAUGGGGAUGCGUCUGAUUAGCUUGUUGGCGGGGUAACGGCCCACCAAGGCUACGAUCAGUAGGGGUUCUGAGAGGAAGGUCCCCCACAUUGGUACUGAGACACGGUCCAAACUCCUACGGGAGGCAGCAGUGAGGAAUAUUGGUCAAUGGACGAGAGUCUGAACCAGCCAAGUAGCGUGCAGGAUGACGGCCCUAUGGGUUGUAAACUGCUUUUAUAAGGGAAUAAAGUGAGUCUCGUGAGACUUUUUGCAUGUACCUUAUGAAUAAGGACCGGCUAAUUCCGUGCCAGCAGCCGCGGUAAUACGGAAGGUCCGGGCGUUAUCCGGAUUUAUUGGGUUUAAAGGGAGCGUGGGCCGGAGAUUAAGCGUGUUGUGUAAUGUAGAUGCUCAACAUCUGCACUGCAGCGCGAACUGGUUUCCUUGAGUACGCACAAAGUGGGCGGAAUUCGUGGUGUAGCGGUGAAAUGCUUAGAUAUCACGAAGAACUCCGAUUGCGAAGGCAGCUCACUGGAGCGCAACUGACGCUGAAGCUCGAAAGUGCGGGUAUCGAACAGGAUUAGAUACCCUGGUAGUCCGCACGGUAAACGAUGGAUGCCCGCUGUUGGUCUGAAUAGGUCAGCGGCCAAGCGAAAGCAUUAAGCAUCCCACCUGGGGAGUACGCCGGCAACGGUGCAACUCAAAGGA
Molecule: ribosomal RNA, 917 nt
Filed under: uncultured bacterium
Lineage: Bacteria
Also listed under: 1 other name
Description: bacterial SSU rRNA
Rfam family: Bacterial small subunit ribosomal RNA
Source: RNAcentral